This 1955-nucleotide long non-coding RNA is filed under the name Homo sapiens (human). Its description in RNAcentral is "HSALNT0246616". The record is from RNAcentral. Lineage: Eukaryota; Metazoa; Chordata; Mammalia; Primates; Hominidae.
GGAUGAGGCAGGUGCGCCGUUCCUCCACCCCACGACCAGGUGAGGGCGAACGGGGAACUGCCUGAGCUCCGAGCCCGGAAGCUUCAAAAUCAGAACGAGGAAGGUCGGUGAGGAGGCCACGCUCGCGGGACGGGGGCAGGAAGCGCAGCCGGAGCUGCAGAUCUCGGCCGCGCCCCGCGGGCUCCAAUCCCGAGCGUCCCCCGCACGCGCAGCCGCGCUCGCCCGCGGGGCCUAAGGGCUGCUCAGGGCGGAGACCCCGUAGGUCCCGGUUCUGGCGGAUUUGGCCCAGGCACCCCCAGCCCCCAGGUAGGAGGCACAACCCUGCUCCCAAUGCCCAACACCUGCCCCCAAUGCCCAACACCUGCCCCACACACCUGAGGUACCUCCUGGGCGUCCCACACCAGGACAGGCCUGGAGACUUCCAGCCACUGCCACCUGGCACACCCAGCACCUGCAGAUCCACCACCUUAAAACCCACCUCUACUGCCCCAUGUCACGGUCCCUGCGGGGCCAGGCCUGCCUGGCACGUCCACCCCGGGUCUCCCUGCCUCACCCUCUUGCGCAUCCACAGUGAACAGGGGCAUCUUUCCAAAAUGCAGAUCUGGCCGGGUGCGGCGGCUCAUGCCUGUAAUCCCAGCACUUUGGGAGGCCGAAGCAGGUGGAUCACAUGAAGUCAGAAGUUGGAGACUAGCCUGGCCAACAUGGUAAAACCCCGUCUCUACUAAAUGUAUAAAAACUAGUGGGAUGUGGUGGCGGCUAACUGUAAUCCCAGCUUCUUGGGAGGCCGAGGCACAAGAAUUGCUUGAACCCGAGAGGCAGAAGUUGCAGCAAGCUGAGAUCUCACCACUGCACUCUAGCCUGGGCAACAUAGCAAGACUCUGUCUCAAAAACAAACAAACAAAAUGCAGAUUGAAUCCAGGCUCACCUGGUGACAGCUGUCCAUAUCCCCACCCUUUCAGGACAGCAUGGCUGCCCUUUUGUGGGUGGUUCCAGCUACCCAGACCCUGUCCUUCUCAACACCCCCUCAUUAAGGUAGGACCCUAAAGUGAAUUCCUCCUUGUCCUUCAAAGCCAGCCUCCAGCAUCGCCUCCUCUGGGAUCUUCUCUGACUUCCCAGUCGGUUUCAGAAGCCUCUGAUGACCCCAUGCGGAGAAGACUGCUCCCCUCACUGCUGGCACACGGCAGAUGCUCAGUAAGUAUCGUUCAAUGACUGACUAAAUGUCUCAUAAUAUCCUUCAUAAACAAGGGCCUGGUGUGGAUUCAUAAAUGGGUCUCUCAAAGUUUAAUUGGUGAGACUCUGUUGUAUCAGACAAUGAAGGGUUAAAAGAUAAUAUUCAAAAAAGUAAAAUCAUGACACACAAAUCUAGAAUGAACACACAUUGAUAAGGUUUGGAUCUGUGUCCUCACCCAAACCUCAUGUCGAACUGGGAUCCCCCGUGUCAGAGGCGGCCGCGUGGGAGGUGACCGGAUCGCGGGUGGACCCUUCAUGAAGGGUUCAGCACCAUCCCCUUGGUGCUGUCCUGGGACAGAGUUCUCUUGCGAUCUGGUUGUUUAAACGUGUGUGGCCCCUUCCCCCUCUCUUUUCCUCCUCCUCCUGCCGUGGGAGACACUUGCUCCAGCUUCGCCUUCCGCCGCGAGUUGAAGCUCCCCGAGGCCUCCUCAGAAGCAGAAGCCACCACGCUUCCUGUACAGCCUGUGGGACCCGGAGCCAGUUCAACCUCUUUUCUUUAUAAAUUACCCAGACUCGGCCGGGCACGGUGGCUCACGCCUGUAAUCCCAGCACUUUGUUGAGACCGAGGCAGGCAGAUCACGAGGUCAGGAGAUCGAGAACAUCCUGGCUAACACGGUGAAACCCCGUCUCUACUAAAAAUACAAAAAAUUAGCCGGGCGUGGUGGCGGGCGCCUGUGGUCCCAGCUACUCGGGAGGCUGAGGCAGGAGAAUGGUGUGAACCCGGG